AGAACGAACGCUGGCGGCAUGCCUAACACAUGCAAGUCGAACGCUUCCGGGGCUUCGGUCGCGGAGGAGUGGCGCACGGGUGAGUAGCGCGUGGGAACCUGCCCUGUUGUGGGGGAUAACCGAGGGAAACUUCGGCUAAUACCGCAUACGCCCCGGGACUUGGUCUUCGGAUUAGGUCUGGGGGGAAAGAUUGAUCGCAGCAGGAGGGGCCCGCGUCGGAUUAGCUGGUUGGUGGGGUAACGGCUCACCAAGGCGAUGAUCCGUAGCUGGUCUGAGAGGAUGAUCAGCCACACUGGGACUGAGACACGGCCCAGACUCCUACGGGAGGCAGCAGUGGGGGAAUAUUGGACAAUGGGGGCAACCCUGAUCCAGCAAUGCCGCGUGAGUGAUGAAGGCCUUAGGGUUGUAAAGCUCUUUCGCCCGCGACGAUGAUGACGGUAGCGGGAGAAGAGCCCGGCUAACUCGUGCCAGCAGCCGC
This 478-nucleotide ribosomal RNA is filed under the name uncultured bacterium. Its description in RNAcentral is "SSU rRNA". It matches the Rfam family "Bacterial small subunit ribosomal RNA", at positions 26 to 518 of the family's 1533-position model. The record is from RNAcentral.